RNAcentral lists this ribosomal RNA (618 nucleotides) under uncultured bacterium. RNAcentral's name for it is "bacterial SSU rRNA". It matches the Rfam family "Bacterial small subunit ribosomal RNA", at positions 901 to 1523 of the family's 1533-position model. The record is from RNAcentral.
UCAAAGGAAUUGACGGGGACCCGCACAAGCGGUGGAUGAUGUGGAUUAAUUCGAUGCAACGCGAAAAACCUUACCUACCCUUGACAUGGCAGGAAUCCUGAAGAGAUUUGGGAGUGCUCGCAAGAGAACCUGCACACAGGUGCUGCAUGGCUGUCGUCAGCUCGUGUCGUGAGAUGUUGGGUUAAGUCCCGCAACGAGCGCAACCCUUGUCAUUAGUUGCUACGAAAGGGCACUCUAAUGAGACUGCCGGUGACAAACCGGAGGAAGGUGGGGAUGACGUCAAGUCCUCAUGGCCCUUAUGGGUAGGGCUUCACACGUCAUACAAUGGUACAUACAGAGGGCUGCCAAACCGCGAGGUGGAGCUAAUCCCAGAAAGUGUAUCGUAGUCCGGAUUGGAGUCUGCAACUCGACUCCAUGAAGUUGGAAUCGCUAGUAAUCGCGGAUCAGCAUGUCGCGGUGAAUACGUUCCCGGGUCUUGUACACACCGCCCGUCACACCAUGGGAGCGGGUUCUGCCAGAAGUAGGUAGCUUAACCGUAAGGAGGGCGCUUACCACGGCAGGGUUCGUGACUGGGGUGAAGUCGUAACAAGGUAGCCGUAUCGGAAGGUGCGGCUGGAU